This 812-nucleotide ribosomal RNA is filed under the name uncultured fungus. RNAcentral's name for it is "eukaryotic LSU rRNA". The stretch from base 1 to 241 matches the Rfam family "Eukaryotic small subunit ribosomal RNA", at positions 1593 to 1831 of the family's 1831-position model. The record is from RNAcentral. Lineage: Eukaryota; Fungi.
UUGCUCUUCAACGAGGAAUGCCUAGUAAGCGCAUGUCAUCAGCAUGCGUUGAUUACGUCCCUGCCCUUUGUACACACCGCCCGUCGCUACUACCGAUUGAAUGGCUCAGUGAGGCCUUCGGACUGGCUCAGGGAGGUCGGCAACGACCACCCAGAGCCGGAAAGUUCGUCAAACUUGGUCAUUUAGAGGAAGUAAAAGUCGUAACAAGGUUUCCGUAGGUGAACCUGCGGAAGGAUCAUUACAAGAGUAUUUCAGUUUGGCUAUAUGCCUCUGAAAAUCUCCACCCUUUGUUUACAUUACCUUUUGUUGUUGCCUCGGUGGGUGCUACCAUACACCUGCCGGCAGACACCUUUUAAAACCCUUGAUUUAAUACUAUAGUCAGAGCUGUAACAAGCAAAAGAUUAAUAAAUCAAAACUUUCAACAACGGAUCUCUUGGUUCUGGCAUCGAUGAAGAACGCAGCGAAAUGCGAUAAGUAAUGUGAAUUGCAGAAUUCAGUGAAUCAUCGAAUCUUUGAACGCACAUUGCGCCCUUUGGUAUUCCGAAGGGCACACCUGUUCGAGCGUCAUUACACCAAUCAAGUCUUACUUGGUAUUGGGCUCUUUUGUCCCUAGUCUUCUAGGGACAGGCCUUAAAGACAUUGGCGGCAUAGUCCGGCUUCGAGCGUAGCAAAAAACAUCGCUUUUGGAGUUUUCUGGAUUAUUGUUCCUUGUCCAUAAAAAUAGGGUAGAAAUAUCCGUUUUUUUUUCUUAAGGUUGACCUCGGAUCAGGUGGGGAUACCCGCUGAACUUAAGCAUAUCAAUAAGCGGAGGA